RNAcentral lists this ribosomal RNA (119 nucleotides) under Pteropus alecto (black flying fox). Lineage: Eukaryota; Metazoa; Chordata; Mammalia; Chiroptera; Pteropodidae. The record is from RNAcentral.
GUCUACGGCCGUGCCACCCUGAACAAGCCCGAUCCUGUCUGAUCUCGGAAGCUAAGCAGGGUCAGGCCUGGUUAGUACUUGGAUGAGAAACCACCUAGGAAGACCAGGUGCUGUAGGUG